Molecule: ribosomal RNA, 465 nt
Filed under: Vreelandella stevensii
Lineage: Bacteria; Pseudomonadati; Pseudomonadota; Gammaproteobacteria; Oceanospirillales; Halomonadaceae
Description: partial 16S ribosomal RNA
Rfam family: Bacterial small subunit ribosomal RNA
Source: RNAcentral
CCUACGGGGGGCUGCAGUGGGGAAUAUUGGACAAUGGGGGGAACCCUGAUCCAGCCAUGCCGCGUGUGUGAAGAAGGCCCUCGGGGUGUAAAGCACUUUCAGUGAGGAAGAACGCCUGGUGGUUAAUACCCAUCAGGAAAGACAUCACUCACAGAAGAAGCACCGGCUAACUCCGUGCCAGCAGCCGCGGUAAUACGGAGGGUGCGAGCGUUAAUCGGAAUUACUGGGCGUAAAGCGCGCGUAGGUGGCUUGAUAAGCCGGUUGUGAAAGCCCCGGGCUCAACCUGGGAACGGCAUCCGGAACUGUCAAGCUAGAGUGCAGGAGAGGAAGGUAGAAUUCCCGGUGUAGCGGUGAAAUGCGUAGAGAUCGGGAGGAAUACCAGUGGCGAAGGCGGCCUUCUGGACUGACACUGCCACUGAGGUGCGAAAGCGUGGGUAGCAAACAGGAUUAGAUACCCGGGUAGUC